Molecule: long non-coding RNA, 1282 nt
Organism: Amphibalanus amphitrite
Lineage: Eukaryota; Metazoa; Arthropoda; Thecostraca; Balanomorpha; Balanidae
Exons: 3
Source: RefSeq, a predicted model, not a curated record
UGUCCACUGUUCUGUAAAUGCUGCUAAUAUACCUCUGUCGCUAGCAGACGCAUGUCUUUGCAUUCGAUUGGUUGAACGGCAUUUCGUUUGCUGAUGGAGAACACCUUUGUUUUAAUUUGUAUUUUGUCAUCGGUUGUUAUUUGUUUUGUCUGUUACACUGAACUCUAUAAUGGGGUCUGUUAUUUGAUUUGAUUUUGUAAGGUAAAGAUGGAAGGCACUGUGACUAUAAAUAAUGGAAGGUAGGUGUUGGUUUGGUACCUUGUUUUUAAAACUUAUUUUUUUCCUGAGAUUUUGCCUGUGCGAGCACCAGGCUGGGUGAUUUUGUGUUUUAGAUCCUUUUCUGAAUUCUGUGGUUCAGUUGAGAUUCAAAUCAAAAUAGGUAAAAGGCUCGUUGCUGUCGGCGGUUCUGACUUCUGAAGACAGCGGUUCGAUCCAGCUGAAGGACGUCACCUGGCAGGAAGUUGCAGAGUGUGGUGGCCAGUAUCAAGCCACAUUGUCCAGAAACCAUCACAUUAUCUCCAGGUCACUAGUCGCCGGUGCUCGAGCUGACGGCGUCGUUCAAGGGCUCCACGGUGACAAGCGCCGUCACCGCUGCCGCCGCCGCCGAGACCAUCCGACUCCUGGGCCCUGUUUCACGGCAGCGUACUGCAGCGCGCUACGCAGCGCUGCUGUGUUAGUGCGGCGAUUGAGACGAAUUCGGCUCGACGCUCCAGCGUUGCGAAACACCCGUGUCUAUGAAGGAUACGCCGAUACGUCCCCCAGCUUCAAGCCCUUCCCGCCCCCCCCCCCCCCGCCCGUCCCAACGGUGUUGGCCGAGAUUGGGGUUUGGUAUUUUAACGGGCUCUCCGAUGACGUCCCGCAAUUUGUGUUAUGUAAUUUGACGAUUAUGUCGUAGUCUCAUUCUGUCUCGAUAUGCUAAUAAAUGAUAAAUGGGACGGAGGUUGGAUUAGUAAGGUGUGAGUGGCUGUAACCGGCAGGUUCUGGCGAGCGCGAUAUUAGUUAUCGUGAGCGCGCCAGCUGCAAUCAAUCGCGCGCUUCUGGCGAGAAAAUACUUGCUCUGGAACCUAGAAGUUUGUCGUGAAAUCUAUGUACCUUUGGAUUGAAUUAUUAGAACAUAAUGUACUUUCGGUGUCCAGCACUGCAGCUCUGGAAACAGAAAUAUGGACGUUGGCUGUUUGAUGUAGCAAGGGCUAACAAUCCGCGUCAAGAAUCAAAAGCUGUAUGCAAAUUAAAGUGAAUAUAUUUCAAUGAAUUUUUAAAUUUUGUGAUACAAAACAUAAAA